RNAcentral lists this ribosomal RNA (301 nucleotides) under uncultured bacterium. RNAcentral describes it as "partial 16S ribosomal RNA". It matches the Rfam family "Bacterial small subunit ribosomal RNA", at positions 509 to 809 of the family's 1533-position model. The record is from RNAcentral.
CAGCAGCCGCGGGAAUACGAAGGGGGCUAGCGUUGUUCGGAAUUACUGGGCGUAAAGCGCACGUAGGCGGAUUUUUAAGUCAGGGGUGAAAUCCCGAGGCUCAACCUCGGAACUGCCUUUGAUACUGGAGAUCUUGAGUUCGGAAGAGGUUGGUGGAACAGCUAGUGUAGAGGUGAAAUUCGUAGAUAUUAGCUAGAACACCAGUGGCGAAGGCGGCCAACUGGUCCGAUACUGACGCUGAGGUGCGAAAGCGUGGGGAGCAAACAGGAUUAGAGACCCCCGUAGUCCCUGUCUCUUAUAU